RNAcentral lists this ribosomal RNA (502 nucleotides) under uncultured bacterium. Its description in RNAcentral is "partial 16S ribosomal RNA". It matches the Rfam family "Bacterial small subunit ribosomal RNA", at positions 29 to 507 of the family's 1533-position model. The record is from RNAcentral.
AGCGAACGCUGGCGGCGUGCCUAACACAUGCAAGUCGAACGUGAAAGGGAGCAAUCCCAAGUAAAGUGGCGUACGGGUGAGUAACACGUAGGUAAUCUACCCCAGAAUCUGGAAUAACCGGCCGAAAGGCUGGCUAAUACUGGAUAGAGCGACGGAAUCCGUAAUUGGGUUUUUCGGGAAAGGGAGCCUGUAAAAAGGCCUUCGUUCUGGGAUGAGCCUGCGUCCCAUCAGCUAGUUGGUGAGGUAAAAGCUUACCAAGGCAAUGACGGGUAGCUGGUCUGAGAGGACGGUCAGCCCCACUGGAACUGAAACACGGUCCAGACUCCUACGGGAGGCAGCAGUGGGGAAUCUUGCGCAAUGGACGAAAGUCUGACGCAGCAACGCCGCGUGAGUGAAGAAGGCCUUCGGGUUGUAAAGCUCUGUCGAGUGGGACGAAAAUGCUUGGAGUUCACAGCUCCAGGAACUGACGGUACCACUAAAGGAAGCACCGGCUAACUCCGUG